Cajanus cajan (pigeon pea) is the source of this 403-nucleotide non-coding RNA. The record is from RefSeq and is a predicted model, not a curated record. NCBI's taxonomy places the organism in Eukaryota, Viridiplantae, Streptophyta, Magnoliopsida, Fabales, Fabaceae.
AUUACCCAUUCUCACAUGCUGUAUGUACCCUUCUCUCCUUGCUAACUUCAUUGGAAGAUUCAAAACAAAACAUGGCUUCAUGCUUCAUGCUUCAUACUCUCACCAACACUCGUGAUUAUGUGAGAGAAUACAAAGAAAUGCAAACAAAUUCUUGUCUAACGAAAAUGGUACGAUCACAUCUGCAGCUGCCACUUGACCAUAAGGGCAGAGCCCACUGUGGAACAUAUUUGCUAGUGGCACAAGAAUUAUAAUAUCGCCACCACUAUGAUUCAUAUUUAUAUCAGAAAUCAAUAUUACUUUUGUUCUUUAUAUUAAAAUUGUUCUGAUUUUCUUUGUUUUUGGCAGAAUUCUUGUGGUUUUCUAUUAUGUCUUUUAUCUAUCUUAUUAGUGAAUUUCUCUUUCA